Molecule: ribosomal RNA, 468 nt
Filed under: uncultured bacterium
Lineage: Bacteria
Description: partial 16S ribosomal RNA
Rfam family: Bacterial small subunit ribosomal RNA
Source: RNAcentral
GACGAACGCUGGCGGCGUGCUUAACACAUGCAAGUCGAACGGAAAGGCCCUGCUUUUGUGGGGUGCUCGAGUGGCGAACGGGUGAGUAACACGUGAGUAACCUGCCCUUGACUUUGGGAUAACUUCAGGAAACUGGGGCUAAUACCGGAUAGGAGCUCCUGCUGCAUGGUGGGGGUUGGAAAGUUUCGGCGGUUGGGGAUGGACUCGCGGCUUAUCAGCUUGUUGGUGGGGUAGUGGCUUACCAAGGCUUUGACGGGUAGCCGGCCUGAGAGGGUGACCGGCCACAUUGGGACUGAGAUACGGACCAGACUCCUACGGGAGGCAGCAGUGGGGAAUAUGGCACAACGGGCGGAAGCCUGAGGCAGAAACGCCGCGUGCGGGAUGACGGCCUUCGGGUUGUAAACCGCUUUCGCCUGUGACGAAGCGUGAGUGACGGUAAUGGGUAAAGAAGCACCGGCUAACUACGUG